AAGAAUGUGAACUUAGGAAGAAGAGAGUGAAGA
This 33-nucleotide small RNA is filed under the name Arabidopsis thaliana (thale cress). Its description in RNAcentral is "ATSL114760". Lineage: Eukaryota; Viridiplantae; Streptophyta; Magnoliopsida; Brassicales; Brassicaceae. The record is from RNAcentral.